UACGUAGGGUGCAAGCGUUGUCCGGAAUUAUUGGGCGUAAAGAGCUCGUAGGCGGUCUGUCGCGUCGGCUGUGAAAACCUGGGGCUCAACUCCGGGCCUGCAGCCGAUACGGGCAGACUAGAAUUCGGUAGGGGAGACUGGAAUUCCUGGUGUAGCGGUGAAGUGCGCAGAUAUCAGGAGGAACACCGGUGGCGAAGGCGGGUCUCUGGGCCGAUAUUGACGCUGAGGAGCGAAAGCGUGGGGAGCGAACAGG
RNAcentral lists this ribosomal RNA (253 nucleotides) under uncultured bacterium. RNAcentral describes it as "partial 16S ribosomal RNA". It matches the Rfam family "Bacterial small subunit ribosomal RNA", at positions 524 to 776 of the family's 1533-position model. The record is from RNAcentral.